GAAAAGACAUUGUCAGUAGUCAAGUCUACAAACAGUUCACAGAACACAAACAUGACUGGUACUUUCAUCCUUGGGUUGAAGCUCGUUCUUUUGCUGUCCUGGCAGUGUGUCCAUUGCGACCAAGCUCUCAAGGGAGCCGGAGAGAUAUGCCAAGCGGACAUCGACGAGUGUUCCUGUAACAACGGUGGAUGUGAACAUUACUGCCACAACACCCAUGGCAGCUACUUCUGUUACUGCCAGCCAGGGUACCAGCUGUCAGG
Branchiostoma floridae (Florida lancelet) is the source of this 260-nucleotide long non-coding RNA. RefSeq lists it as uncharacterized. The transcript has 3 exons. The record is from RefSeq and is a predicted model, not a curated record. NCBI's taxonomy places the organism in Eukaryota, Metazoa, Chordata, Leptocardii, Amphioxiformes, Branchiostomatidae.